Molecule: non-coding RNA, 84 nt
Organism: Schizopora paradoxa
Lineage: Eukaryota; Fungi; Basidiomycota; Agaricomycetes; Hymenochaetales; Schizoporaceae
Source: the annotation of a GenBank genome assembly
UCCCUGUUAGUAUAUCGGUUAGUACACGCGCCUGUCAUUUGUACAGUUCCGCGCGAGAGCGGAGUUCGAUUCUCCGACAGGGAG